Molecule: ribosomal RNA, 500 nt
Filed under: uncultured bacterium
Lineage: Bacteria
Description: partial 16S ribosomal RNA
Rfam family: Bacterial small subunit ribosomal RNA
Source: RNAcentral
AUUGAACGCUGGCGGCAUGCCUUACACAUGCAAGUCGAACGGCAGCACGGGCUUCGGUCUGGUGGCGAGUGGCGAACGGGUGAGUAAUGUAUCGGAACGUGCCCUUCAGGGGGGGAUAACGUAGAGAAAGUUACGCUAAUACCGCAAACUCUGUGAGCUGGAAAGCAGGGGGUCGAAAGACCUUCCGCUGAGUGAGCGGCGGAUAUCAGAUUGGCUAGUUGGUGGGGUAAAGGCCUACCAAGGCGACGAUCUGUAGCGGGUCUGAGAGGAUGAUCCGCCACACUGGAACUGAGACACGGUCCAGACUCCUACGGGAGGCAGCAGUGGGGAAUUUUGGACAAUGGGGGCAACCCUGAUCCAGCCAUGCCGCGUGAGUGAAGAAGGCCUUCGGGUUGUAAAGCUCUUUCGGCCGGGAAGAAAUCGCAUGGGCUAAUACCCUGUGUGGAUGACGGUACCGGAAUAAGAAGCACCGGCUAACUACGUGCCAGCAGCCGCGGUAA